Molecule: ribosomal RNA, 461 nt
Filed under: uncultured bacterium
Lineage: Bacteria
Description: bacterial SSU rRNA
Rfam family: Bacterial small subunit ribosomal RNA
Source: RNAcentral
CGCUGGCGGCGCGCCUAACACAUGCAAGUCGAACGGAGCUGAGAGGAGCUUGCUUUUCUCAGCUUAGUGGCGAACGGGUGAGUAACGCGUGAGUAACCUGCCCUGGAGUGGGGGACAACAGUUGGAAACGACUGCUAAUACCGCAUAUGCCCACGGAUCCGCAUGGAUCUGCGGGAAAAGGAUUUAUUCGCUUCAGGAUGGACUCGCGUCCAAUUAGCUAGUUGGUGAGGUAACGGCCCACCAAGGCGACGAUUGGUAGCCGGACUGAGAGGUUGAACGGCCACAUUGGGACUGAGACACGGCCCAGACUCCUACGGGAGGCAGCAGUGGGGGAUAUUGCACAAUGGGGAAACCCUGAUGCAGCGACGCCGCGUGGAGGAAGAAGGUUUUCGGAUUGUAAACUCCUGUCGUUAGGGACGAUAAUGACGGUACCUAACAAGAAAGCACCGGCUAACUACGUG